UUAAAACAAGUUUUUCAAAUACUGGAAAACCGUGAUCUCUACACUUAUCAAAAAUAUUCCGUGACUUAACUAAAAAUCGAUAAUCCGAUCAUAUACUUUGUGAUGCAGCCCUGGUUAUCGACUGUCUUCUUCUUCUGUGUUGUGAAAAUCCUAAAGCGGGCUGGGAACUUACAGUCUUAAAUAAAUUUGUCUUAUUACUGGUUUUGUUGAUAGUGCUAACAAUAUUAUUUGGUACUAAUUGGUCAAUAAGCCAGUUUGGUGAGCCGGGAACAUAUCUGAAGUCCUCACCCUUGCAGAACUUGGUCGUGGAACUUGCGAAAUUGAGGAUCACAUCUUUACUUGCUUUUCAAACCCAGUACAUGAUUAAGUUCCGGUAAUUUACACUGAUUACAUAAAAUUAAAAGGUUUUUAAACUCGUAUUACUCUGCAAGCUCGAAGGGCAGUUGUGUUCAAUAAAUGAACUGUGCCCGCAACGCUUCACACAUGUCAUUGGAAAACUUUUCAUCGAUUUGUGGGUUCCGGGCUCCGAGGGAGCGACGGAAGCAAGUGGAGUGACAGGCAUGUGGUUGGCCAAAUUAUGGCAACUUUAAUUGAACAAACCAAUAUUAAUCAAAGGCCAGUGCUGGCCGACUCCGGGGCAUUUAAUAAAUUGACUACUUCACCCAAUCGUCGGUCGGCGGAAGAGUUGGUCGAACUGGUCUGGUUGAUAUGGUUGGCCAUUGGGUGAGUCAGUGCAUAAUAUGAACUGUUAUUUGGUAGAUUAAAUAAUCA
Drosophila biarmipes is the source of this 771-nucleotide long non-coding RNA. RefSeq lists it as uncharacterized. The record is from RefSeq and is a predicted model, not a curated record. Lineage: Eukaryota; Metazoa; Arthropoda; Insecta; Diptera; Drosophilidae. The transcript is spliced from 3 exons.